RNAcentral lists this ribosomal RNA (117 nucleotides) under Sinocyclocheilus rhinocerous. The record is from RNAcentral. Lineage: Eukaryota; Metazoa; Chordata; Actinopteri; Cypriniformes; Cyprinidae.
AGCAAAAGCCAUAUCACCCUGCAGCCCAAGACUGGUUGCCCACUGAAGCUAAGCAAGGUUGAACCUGGUCAGUACCUGGAUGGGAGACCUCCUGGGAAAACUAGGUUGCUGUUGGAA